GAUGAACGCUGGCGGCGUGUCUAAGGCAUGCAAGUUGAAUGCUACACUUCGGUGUAGCAUGGCAAACGGGAGAGUAACACAUUGGUAACCUACCUUGAGGACGAGUAUAACCCAGAGAAAUUUGGAAUAAUACUCGAUAAUAGUGGGGGGACAAAAGUCAUUCCCACUUAAAGCUCCGACGCCUCAAGAGGGACCUAUGUCCUAUCAGCUAGUUGGUAGUGUAAUGGACUACCAAGGCUACGACGGGUAGCGGGUGUGAGAGCAUGACCCGCCUCACUGGGACUGAGACACUGCCCAGACUCCUACGGGAGGCUGCAGUCAAGAAUAUUCCUCAAUGGCCGAAAGGCUGAAGGAGCGACGCCGCGUGAUUGAUGAAGCCCUUCGGGGUGUAAAAAUCUUUUCACUAGGAAGAAACCAUGACGGUACUAGUGGAAUAAGGGGCUGCUAACUUCG
This 453-nucleotide ribosomal RNA is filed under the name uncultured bacterium. RNAcentral's name for it is "bacterial SSU rRNA". It matches the Rfam family "Bacterial small subunit ribosomal RNA", at positions 28 to 505 of the family's 1533-position model. The record is from RNAcentral.